RNAcentral lists this ribosomal RNA (378 nucleotides) under uncultured bacterium. RNAcentral's name for it is "bacterial SSU rRNA". It matches the Rfam family "Bacterial small subunit ribosomal RNA", at positions 790 to 1167 of the family's 1533-position model. The record is from RNAcentral.
GUAGUCCUAGCCGUAAACGGUGAGCACUAGGUGUAGGAGGCAUCGACCCCUCCUGUGCCGUAGCUAACGCAUUAAGUGCUCCGCCUGGGGAGUACGACCGCAAGGUUGAAACUCAAAGGAAUUGACGGGGGCCCGCACAAGCGGUGGAGCAUGUGGUUUAAUUCGAUGCAACGCGAAGAACCUUACCCAGGUUUGACAUGCACCGGACAGGUGUGGAAACACAUCCUUCCUUCGGGAUCGGUGCACAGGUGCUGCAUGGCUGUCGUCAGCUCGUGUCGUGAGAUGUUGGGUUAAGUCCCGCAACGAGCGCAACCCUUGUCCCUAGUUGCCAGCAAGUACAGUUGGGCACUCUAGGGAGACUGCCGUCGACAAGGCGGA